This 200-nucleotide ribosomal RNA is filed under the name uncultured bacterium. RNAcentral describes it as "partial 16S ribosomal RNA". It matches the Rfam family "Bacterial small subunit ribosomal RNA", at positions 29 to 257 of the family's 1533-position model. The record is from RNAcentral.
AACGAACGCUGGCGGCAGGCUUAACACAUGCAAGUCGAGCGCCCCGCAAGGGGAGCGGCAGACGGGUGAGUAACGCGUGGGAAUCUACCCAUCCCUACGGAACAACUCCGGGAAACUGGAGCUAAUACCGUAUACGCCCUUCGGGGAAGGAUUUAUUCGGGGAGUGGAUGAGCCCGCGUUGGAUUAGCUAGUUGGUGGGG